RNAcentral lists this ribosomal RNA (445 nucleotides) under uncultured bacterium. RNAcentral's name for it is "partial 16S ribosomal RNA". It matches the Rfam family "Bacterial small subunit ribosomal RNA", at positions 354 to 796 of the family's 1533-position model. The record is from RNAcentral.
GUGAGGAAUAUUGCGCAAUGGAGGCAACUCUGACGCAGCCAUGCCGCGUGCAGGAAGAAGGCGCUACGCGUUGUAAACUGCUUUUAACCGGGAAGAAACCCCAGGACGUGUCCUGGGUUGACGGUACCGGAGGAAUAAGCACCGGCUAACUUCGUGCCAGCAGCCGCGGUAAUACGAAGGGUGCAAGCGUUAUCCGGAUUCAUUGGGUUUAAAGGGUGCGUAGGCGGAGCGUUAAGUCAGUGGUGAAAUCCUGCAGCUUAACUGGAGACUUGCCAUUGAUACUGGCGCUCUUGAGUGCGCUUGAAGUGGGCGGAAUGUGCCGUGUAGCGGUGAAAUGCUUAGAUAUGGCACAGAACACCAAUUGCGAAGGCAGCUCACUAAGGCGAUACUGACGCUGAGGCACGAAAGCGUGGGGAUCGAACAGGAUUAGAAACCCGGGUAGUCC